This 170-nucleotide non-coding RNA is filed under the name Rhodobium orientis. RNAcentral's name for it is "Brucella sRNA CI27". It matches the Rfam family "Brucella sRNA CI27". Lineage: Bacteria; Pseudomonadati; Pseudomonadota; Alphaproteobacteria; Hyphomicrobiales; Rhodobiaceae. The record is from Rfam by way of RNAcentral.
GAAUGAGCCAAAGCGCUUUCCCAAAAAGUUGACAGACUUUUUGGAUAAGAAAUCGCGUCAAAACAAGGACCUAAAGUACGUUGCGUGUUUCAGGAAAAACGCAACGUGCUUUAGGUCGGCAUCACGCCUCCGUCCGUUCGCCCUCAGUCGGAUCGAGGGUCUUUUGCAGG